Molecule: transfer RNA, 80 nt
Filed under: Streptomyces humidus
Lineage: Bacteria; Bacillati; Actinomycetota; Actinomycetes; Kitasatosporales; Streptomycetaceae
Description: tRNA-Ala
Source: RNAcentral
UUGCGCGCGUCGGCCGCGGCCUUGGACGCCUGGCAGGCGUCCUUCUGCGCGUCCUGGGCGAUCUUCGCGGCGCGCGCGAU